RNAcentral lists this long non-coding RNA (1427 nucleotides) under Homo sapiens (human). RNAcentral's name for it is "long non-coding RNA NONHSAT149215.1". Lineage: Eukaryota; Metazoa; Chordata; Mammalia; Primates; Hominidae. The record is from RNAcentral.
GGGCACUCCACAGAAGGAUGUUAUUAUCAAGUCAGAUGCACCGGACACUUUGUUAUUGGAGAAACAUGCAGAUUAUAUCGCAUCCUAUGGCUCAAAGAAAGAUGAUUAUGAAUACUGUAUGUCUGAGUAUUUGAGAAUGAGUGGCAUCUAUUGGGGUCUGACAGUAAUGGAUCUCAUGGGACAACUUCAUCGCAUGAAUAGAGAAGAGAUUCUGGCAUUUAUUAAGUCUUGCCAACAUGAAUGUGGUGGAAUAAGUGCUAGUAUCGGACAUGAUCCUCAUCUUUUAUACACUCUUAGUGCUGUCCAGAUUCUUACGCUGUAUGACAGUAUUAAUGUUAUUGACGUAAAUAAAGUUGUGGAAUAUGUUAAAGGUCUACAGAAAGAAGAUGGUUCUUUUGCUGGAGAUAUUUGGGGUAAUGUCAGAUUUAGUCCAUUCUACCCAAAAUACCAAUAUUAAAAUGUACUGGUUUUGCUAGUAACCAGUUUAUAAGUUUUUCAUCUUUUCAGGUCCCACUAAGCAGCUGGUCUAACUGGAGUUAAUGGUCUGCUGGAACUUCCAGCAUGCACUGUGGUAGUUAUAUCAGCAUAUACAGGAGCACUGGAACAGAGGGGGCCAGUCUAAAAGAUAAGGGAUGAACACAGUGCAGGCCAGAGAGACCAGCUGCUUCAUGGGAUGUGAAAAAUCUACUUUUAUAAAGUAGGGAGAAAUUGACACAAGAUUCUCUUUUUGUGCGGUGGCAACUUUGGCUUUGUUGGGGAAGCUUGAUGCUAUUAAUGUGGAAAAGGCAAUCGAAUUUGUUUUAUCCUGUAUGAACUUUGACGGUGGAUUUGGUUGCAGACCAGGUUCUGAAUCCCAUGCUGGGCAGAUCUAUUGUUGCACAGGAUUUCUGGCAAUUACAAGUCAGUUGCAUCAAGUAAAUUCUGAUUUACUUGGCUGGUGGCUUUGUGAACGACAAUUACCCUCAGGCGGGCUCAAUGGAAGGCCGGAGAAGUUACCAGAUGUAUGCUACUCAUGGUGGGUCCUGGCUUCCCUAAAGAUAAUUGGAAGACUUCAUUGGAUUGAUAGAGAGAAACUGCGUAAUUUCAUUUUAGCAUGUCAAGAUGAAGAAACGGGGGGAUUUGCAGACAGGCCAGGAGAUAUGGUGGAUCCUUUUCAUACCUUAUUUGGAAUUGCUGGAUUGUCACUUUUGGGAGAAGAACAGAUUAAACCUGUUAAUCCUGUCUUUUGCAUGCCUGAAGAAGUGCUUCAGAGAGUGAAUGUUCAGCCUGAGCUAGUGAGCUAGAUUCAUUGAAUUGAAAGUUGCAUAGUAUAGUUUUGCCAUUUUAACAUUUCUGUAUUUGAAGUGCUUAUCGAAUCUAAAAGUGACUACUGUUAAUAUUUUGUAUAUUGUGUUAAAUUAAUUUUAAUAAAUUAUAUAAUUAUACAU